RNAcentral lists this ribosomal RNA (493 nucleotides) under uncultured bacterium. RNAcentral describes it as "partial 16S ribosomal RNA". It matches the Rfam family "Bacterial small subunit ribosomal RNA", at positions 29 to 507 of the family's 1533-position model. The record is from RNAcentral.
ACGAACGCUGGCGGCGUGCUUAACCCAUGCAAGUCGAACGGAAAGGCCUGCUUUCCCUUGUGGAUUGCGGGUACUCGAGUGGCGAACGGGUGAGUAACACGUGAGUGAUCUGCCCCCAACUUGGGUAUAAGCCUGGGAAACUGGGUCUAAUUCCCGAUAGGACUGCAGGGUGGUGCCUGUGGUGGAAAACGAUUUUCUAGUGGUUGGGGAUGAGCUCGCGGCCUAUCAGCUUGUUGGUGGGGUAAUGGCCUACCAAGGCGGCGACGGGUAGCCGGCCUGAGAGGGUGGACGGCCACAUUGGGACUGAGAUACGGCCCAGACUCCUACGGGAGGCAGCAGUGGGGAAUAUUGCACAAUGGGCGGAAGCCUGAUGCAGCGACGCCGCGUGGGGGAUGACGGCCUUCGGGUUGUAAACUCCUUUCGACCGCGAGGAAGCCACCUGGUUGGAAGGGUGGUGACGGUAGUGGUAGAAGAAGCACCGGCUAACUACGUG